This 613-nucleotide ribosomal RNA is filed under the name uncultured bacterium. Its description in RNAcentral is "bacterial SSU rRNA". It matches the Rfam family "Bacterial small subunit ribosomal RNA", at positions 838 to 1451 of the family's 1533-position model. The record is from RNAcentral.
CUUGGGUGGCGCAGCUAACGCAUUAAGUUAUCCGCCUGGGGAGUACGGUCGCAAGAUUAAAACUCAAAGGAAUUGACGGGGGCCUGCACAAGCGGUGGAGCAUGUGGUUUAAUUCGAAGCAACGCGCAGAACCUUACCAGCCUUUGACAUCCUAGGACGGUUUCUGGAGACAGACUCCUUCCCUUCGGGGACCUAGUGACAGGUGCUGCAUGGCUGUCGUCAGCUCGUGUCGUGAGACGUUGGGUUAAGUCCCGCAACGAGCGCAACCCUCGUCCUUAGUUGCCAUCAUUUAGUUGGGCACUUUAAGGAAACUGCCGGUGAUAAGCCGGAGGAAGGUGGGGAUGACGUCAAGUCCUCAUGGCCCUUACAGGCUGGGCUACACACGUGCUACAAUGGCAUCUACAGUGAGCAGCGAUCCCGCGAGGGUUAGCUAAUCUCCAAAAGAUGUCUCAGUUCGGAUUGUUCUCUGCAACUCGAGAGCAUGAAGGCGGAAUCGCUAGUAAUCGCGGAUCAGCAUGCCGCGGUGAAUACGUUCCCAGGCCUUGUACACACCGCCCGUCACACCAUGGGAGUUGGAUUCACCCGAAGGCGGUGCGCUAACCUUUAGGAGGCA